GGGCUUGACAUCCCACGAACCUGGGGGAAACUUCGGGGUGCCCGCAAGGGAGCGCGGAGACAGGUGGUGCAUGGCUGUCGUCAGCUCGUGUCGUGAGAUGUUGGAUUAUGUUCCGCAACGAGCGCAACCCUCGGUGCCUGUUGUCAGCGGUUCGGCCGGACCCUCAGGCGCAACUGCCGCAGCAAUGUGGAGGAAGGUGGGGAUGACGUCAAGUCAGCAUGCCCCGGACGCCCUGGGCUACACACGUACUACAAUGGCCGGUACAAAGGGCAGCCAACCCGCGAGGGAGAGCGAAUCCCAAAAAAGCGGCCUCAGUUCGGAUUGCAGUCUGCAACUCGACUGCAUGAAGGUGGAAUCGCUAGUAAUCGCAGAUCAGCAAGCUGCGGUGAAUACGUUCCCGGGCCUUGUACACACCGCCCGUCACAUCACGAAAGUGGGCUGUACUCGAAGUCGCUGAG
RNAcentral lists this ribosomal RNA (458 nucleotides) under uncultured Methylomirabilota bacterium. RNAcentral's name for it is "bacterial SSU rRNA". It matches the Rfam family "Bacterial small subunit ribosomal RNA", at positions 977 to 1434 of the family's 1533-position model. The record is from RNAcentral. Lineage: Bacteria; Methylomirabilota (SeqCode).